GCUAACCCUGUCAACGCUGACUCUCAGAACAGCGUCAACGUGCGUCUGCCGCCUCUGCGUCCCCACCACGACAUCAGUGCGCUCAGAGCUGUCUAGGGGAAACUUGACAGAUUUCAAUCGCACAGUAAUUCUGCAACUGGUAAAGAGGAAGGGCUUCUGUUUGAUAAGCGGUAACAACUAUCUAGUGGACAUGAACAAGUGGAAUAACCAACACGUGUUGAACAGGAGAAAAAGACAACGACGUUUAUUUUGAUCGUUUUAUACCUUAUCAUCCAUGAAGAAGACAAACAUUGGACAGAGCGUUUGCACCUUCGCACUACUGCUGUCGACUUUGGUGACAGGUGGCGAAAAAGGCAGAACUCCACUCACGGACGAUGUGGGCACACUGGACGUUCUGAAAGGAAACAUUCCCCAGGACUACAGAAUCCCACUUAAUCACGCUCCUAAAGCAGUG
Long non-coding RNA from Alosa alosa (allis shad), 454 nucleotides. RefSeq lists it as uncharacterized. NCBI's taxonomy places the organism in Eukaryota, Metazoa, Chordata, Actinopteri, Clupeiformes, Clupeidae. The record is from RefSeq and is a predicted model, not a curated record. The transcript is spliced from 3 exons.